UUGAAUUUGGGGUUUUUGCCCUAGGAUUUUUCGGGGACAAAUUGACCCCGUAGAAACCCAAUUGGGGGUGCCCAAAACACGUUGGACAACUUCGUUUAAUAUUUCGAAAAUGUUAGAGUAUAGUUCAUGUACAAAAAGGCCUAAUAUGGCACUAUUUGAUUAUAGGGCGCGGAAUCGGCUUUCGUAAAGUGCGGGGGCCUUAAUAUUCUACACCCACACGACUCACAGAGGUGGGGGGUGCACGCCGGAAUCGUUGGAUUCCCCUCUAUGUCUAUUUCUCUAUUUUUGAGCAUAUAUAUAUAUAUAUACCCAUUCAUGCAUAGUAGGGUAGCUACAUGUGGAACUUGGUUUGACUUCAUUUUUAUGCUUCUAACGUAGUUGAACAUAGAGAAUGAUAGAACCAAAACGGACAUGUGUGAUUGGACCCUCGAGAUGUGUGAAUGUAAGAAUGGACUUGGACAUUAGAAAACAAGGGUGUCAUUGACAUAGAAACAAGAAUUGCAUUGAGAGAUGACCAUUGGAAAUAGUUUAACCCAUAGGGACAUGGUCGAAGAUAAGGUCUCGAAAGUGGCAAAAAUAAAUAGGUAGAGACCUAUCGUGAUAUUGGCAUUGUGACUAGUGGCUAUGAAUCCUCAAGUUGAGGAUUAGAUCGACACUCACCUUUCGUCUUGGCUUGAGGGAGGUCGCUCCCCCUCGAGCGGUGCGCUCCGGAGUUGGUCACCACUGGGCGUGGUAAAGUCCCACCAGUUGACGGUCCCUAGGGAGGUUCGAGUCCCCCGUUAUUAAGGGAUUUUGGGUUGUGAGUUAUUGGGGUUAACAGAGUUAACCGGUAAGAUUGGGUAAGAGCCAAAGUUUGAUUAUGAUUGGAGCAUGCAUGCAUUUCCAUUUUCGCAUUGAAAUUGUAUAUCUAUUGUCUCUUUCUUGCAGGCAUAGUAUUAGUUGCAUUAGUAAUGGUUACCUUUCUUCCUUUGAAAUACUUAUGCCUGGAUAGACCUAGUGGGUAAGUCGGCGAGGUCGGAUGCCGAGCCCACUGGGAACUUCGUUGUAGUUCUCACACCACUAACCCUACAGGUCCUAGCACGAGCGGGGCGGCGGAGGACCGAGGCAAGGGUUUGGCGCCGUAGGUAGCGGCCACCGGGGACUUUAUGCAUUUUGUAGUCAUUCCCUUUUGUUAUACAUGUAUCAACUUUAUUUUGUUGAAUUAGGUAUGUAAAGUGAAAACAAUCAUGUAUUUGGUGGAUGACUAAAUGUAAAAAGAUAUGAUGGUUGGAUGGAAUGUAAUAGUUGUACAUUAGCUUUGUUUACUUGAAUUUGGUUUAAAUGAAAUCAAAUAUCAUGUGUAAUCUAUAUUUAGCUUAGAGCUUUCGCUUCCGUUGUUGCUUGCCCUCGUGCAAGCCUCGUAUUAUAUUUGCAAUUCUCUUGUUAAUUGCCUAAUUAUAUAUAUUGUUAGAGCCUUGGGCGGACAGGGGAGGCUCUGUCCGUUCGGCGUCUGUUGACGUGACCCGAACCCGACCAAAUUGGCGGGGAUUGGGGCGUGACAGAUAUAAUGGUAUCAGAGCGAAGUUGAAAGCAAAAGUCUAGGAAUGACCUAGGAACCAUAGG
This 1602-nucleotide long non-coding RNA is filed under the name Ananas comosus (pineapple). Its description in RNAcentral is "long non-coding RNA (ACOM_LNC036331)". The record is from RNAcentral. Lineage: Eukaryota; Viridiplantae; Streptophyta; Magnoliopsida; Poales; Bromeliaceae.